GACGAACGCUGGCGGCGUGCUUAACACAUGCAAGUCGAGCGGUAAGGCCCUUUGGGGGGUACACGAGCGGCGAACGGGUGAGUAACACGUGGGUGACCUGCCCUCAGCUCUGGGAUAAGCCUGGGAAACUGGGUCUAAUACUGGAUAUGACCUUUCCUCGCAUGGGGUUGGGUGGAAAGUUUUUCGGCUGGGGAUGGGCCCGCGGCCUAUCAGCUUGUUGGUGGGGUGAUGGCCUACCAAGGCGACGACGGGUAGCCGGCCUGAGAGGGCGACCGGCCACACUGGGACUGAGACACGGCCCAGACUCCUACGGGAGGCAGCAGUGGGGAAUAUUGCGCAAUGGGCGGAAGCCUGACGCAGCGACGCCGCGUGGGGGAUGACGGCCUU
This 387-nucleotide ribosomal RNA is filed under the name uncultured bacterium. RNAcentral describes it as "bacterial SSU rRNA". It matches the Rfam family "Bacterial small subunit ribosomal RNA", at positions 28 to 418 of the family's 1533-position model. The record is from RNAcentral.